Paramuricea clavata is the source of this 237-nucleotide non-coding RNA. The record is from the annotation of a GenBank genome assembly. NCBI's taxonomy places the organism in Eukaryota, Metazoa, Cnidaria, Anthozoa, Malacalcyonacea, Plexauridae.
GCACAGCCCUUGCAAUCCCUUAAAUUUGUCUUUUUUCAACAGCAAAAUCUGGAUUUUUUUGCUGAGGCAAGUAGAACAUUCUCAACACAAUUCAAUAACAUUCUCAAGUCAAUAACAAGGACUGUUGGAUAGUGCUAAAUGCUAAUAGGAAUACAUAUCCUAUAAGGCUAUAUGCAAAUCUGUGAUACUAAAUUUCAAGGAGGCUAUUUACUACGGGGCUUGGCUUUUGUCCUGAGC